AUCGCUAUGUCAGCUCUGAAGUGAGGCCUCCAUAACAAGCGCCUUAACUACUCCCUCAAAAAAAAUAUAUCCUAGGGAUUAUGCCAACCUUCGGGCCAAGGCCCAUAAGUACAUGCGGGCCAAAGAGGGCCACAUCAUGCAUCAGAAAGAUUGGGCCUUUAAUAAAAAGAAGCAUGCAUGGGAGGACGCACCCCCGAACCAAGCUACACCAGAAUCCUUCUGACUGGCGAAAGCUCCACAUUCCAUUGACCGCUCCUCAAGGCCAAAUCCUCAUGG
This 276-nucleotide long non-coding RNA is filed under the name Elaeis guineensis (African oil palm). RNAcentral describes it as "long non-coding RNA (EGUI_LNC075820)". The record is from RNAcentral. Lineage: Eukaryota; Viridiplantae; Streptophyta; Magnoliopsida; Arecales; Arecaceae.